CCUACGGGAGGCAGCAGUGAGGAAUAUUGGUCAAUGGGCGCUAGCCUGAACCAGCCAAGUAGCGUGAAGGAUGAAUGCCCUAUGGGUUGUAAACUUCUUUUAUAUGGGAAUAAAGUGCAGUAUGUAUACUGCUUUGCAUGUACCUUAUGAAUAAGGAUCGGCUAACUCCGUGCCAGCAGCCGCGGUAAUACGGAGGAUCCGAGCGUUAUCCGGAUUUAUUGGGUUUAAAGGGAGCGUAGGCGGGUUGUUAAGUCAGUUGUGAAAGUUUGCGGCUCAACCGUACAAUUGCAGUUGAUACUGGCAGCCUUGAGUACGAUAGAGGUAGGCGGAAUGCGUGGUGUAGCGGUGAAAUGCUUAGAUAUCGCGAAGAACUCCGAUUGCGAAGGCAGCCUGCUGGACUGUAACUGACGCUGAUGCUCGAAAGUGUGGGUAUCAAACAGGAUUAGAUACCCGUGUAGUC
This 460-nucleotide ribosomal RNA is filed under the name uncultured bacterium. Its description in RNAcentral is "partial 16S ribosomal RNA". It matches the Rfam family "Bacterial small subunit ribosomal RNA", at positions 338 to 795 of the family's 1533-position model. The record is from RNAcentral.